This 2925-nucleotide ribosomal RNA is filed under the name Klebsiella pneumoniae. RNAcentral's name for it is "23S ribosomal RNA". It matches the Rfam family "Bacterial large subunit ribosomal RNA". The record is from RNAcentral. RNAcentral also lists the same sequence under 1 other name. Lineage: Bacteria; Pseudomonadati; Pseudomonadota; Gammaproteobacteria; Enterobacterales; Enterobacteriaceae.
GGGUUGUGAGGUUAAGCGACUAAGCGUACACGGUGGAUGCCCUGGCAGUCAGAGGCGAUGAAGGACGUGCUAAUCUGCGAAAAGCGUCGGUAAGGUGAUAUGAACCGUUAUAACCGGCGAUGUCCGAAUGGGGAAACCCAGUGUGAUUCGUCACACUAUCGUUAACUGAAUACAUAGGUUAACGAGGCGAACCGGGGGAACUGAAACAUCUAAGUACCCCGAGGAAAAGAAAUCAACCGAGAUUCCCCCAGUAGCGGCGAGCGAACGGGGAGCAGCCCAGAGUCUGAAUCAGCUUGUGUGUUAGUGGAACGGUCUGGAAAGUCCGACGGUACAGGGUGAUAGUCCCGUACACCAAAAUGCACAGGUUGUGAACUCGAAGAGUAGGGCGGGACACGUGGUAUCCUGUCUGAAUAUGGGGGGACCAUCCUCCAAGGCUAAAUACUCCUGACUGACCGAUAGUGAACCAGUACCGUGAGGGAAAGGCGAAAAGAACCCCGGCGAGGGGAGUGAAAAAGAACCUGAAACCGUGUACGUACAAGCAGUGGGAGCACCUUCGGGUGUGACUGCGUACCUUUUGUAUAAUGGGUCAGCGACUUAUAUUCUGUAGCAAGGUUAACCGUAUAGGGGAGCCGCAGGGAAACCGAGUCUUAACUGGGCGUUAAGUUGCAGGGUAUAGACCCGAAACCCGGUGAUCUAGCCAUGGGCAGGUUGAAGGUUGGGUAACACUAACUGGAGGACCGAACCGACUAAUGUUGAAAAAUUAGCGGAUGACUUGUGGCUGGGGGUGAAAGGCCAAUCAAACCGGGAGAUAGCUGGUUCUCCCCGAAAGCUAUUUAGGUAGCGCCUCGUGAACUCAUCUUCGGGGGUAGAGCACUGUUUCGGCUAGGGGGUCAUCCCGACUUACCAACCCGAUGCAAACUACGAAUACCGAAGAAUGUUAUCACGGGAGACACACGGCGGGUGCUAACGUCCGUCGUGAAGAGGGAAACAACCCAGACCGCCAGCUAAGGUCCCAAAGUCAUGGUUAAGUGGGAAACGAUGUGGGAAGGCACAGACAGCCAGGAUGUUGGCUUAGAAGCAGCCAUCAUUUAAAGAAAGCGUAAUAGCUCACUGGUCGAGUCGGCCUGCGCGGAAGAUGUAACGGGGCUAAACCAUGCACCGAAGCUGCGGCAGCGACACUAUGUGUUGUUGGGUAGGGGAGCGUUCUGUAAGCCUGCGAAGGUGACCUGUGAGGGUUGCUGGAGGUAUCAGAAGUGCGAAUGCUGACAUAAGUAACGAUAAAGCGGGUGAAAAGCCCGCUCGCCGGAAGACCAAGGGUUCCUGUCCAACGUUAAUCGGGGCAGGGUGAGUCGACCCCUAAGGCGAGGCCGAAAGGCGUAGUCGAUGGGAAACAGGUUAAUAUUCCUGUACUUGGUGUUACUGCGAAGGGGGGACGGAGAAGGCUAUGUUAGCCGGGCGACGGUUGUCCCGGUUUAAGCAUGUAGGCGGAGGUUCCAGGUAAAUCCGGUACCUUUUAACGCUGAGGUGUGAUGACGAGGCACUACGGUGCUGAAGUAACAAAUGCCCUGCUUCCAGGAAAAGCCUCUAAGCAUCAGGUAACAUCAAAUCGUACCCCAAACCGACACAGGUGGUCAGGUAGAGAAUACCAAGGCGCUUGAGAGAACUCGGGUGAAGGAACUAGGCAAAAUGGUGCCGUAACUUCGGGAGAAGGCACGCUGGUGUGUAGGUGAAGUCCCUGCGGAUGGAGCUGAGACCAGUCGAAGAUACCAGCUGGCUGCAACUGUUUAUUAAAAACACAGCACUGUGCAAACACGAAAGUGGACGUAUACGGUGUGACGCCUGCCCGGUGCCGGAAGGUUAAUUGAUGGGGUUAUCCGUAAGGAGAAGCUCUUGAUCGAAGCCCCGGUAAACGGCGGCCGUAACUAUAACGGUCCUAAGGUAGCGAAAUUCCUUGUCGGGUAAGUUCCGACCUGCACGAAUGGCGUAAUGAUGGCCAGGCUGUCUCCACCCGAGACUCAGUGAAAUUGAACUCGCUGUGAAGAUGCAGUGUACCCGCGGCAAGACGGAAAGACCCCGUGAACCUUUACUAUAGCUUGACACUGAACAUUGAGCCUUGAUGUGUAGGAUAGGUGGGAGGCUUUGAAGCGUGGACGCCAGUCUGCGUGGAGCCAACCUUGAAAUACCACCCUUUAAUGUUUGAUGUUCUAACGUUGGCCCCUUACCGGGGUUGCGGACAGUGUCUGGUGGGUAGUUUGACUGGGGCGGUCUCCUCCCAAAGCGUAACGGAGGAGCACGAAGGUUAGCUAAUCCUGGUCGGACAUCAGGAGGUUAGUGCAAUGGCAUAAGCUAGCUUGACUGCGAGCGUGACGGCGCGAGCAGGUGCGAAAGCAGGUCAUAGUGAUCCGGUGGUUCUGAAUGGAAGGGCCAUCGCUCAACGGAUAAAAGGUACUCCGGGGAUAACAGGCUGAUACCGCCCAAGAGUUCAUAUCGACGGCGGUGUUUGGCACCUCGAUGUCGGCUCAUCACAUCCUGGGGCUGAAGUAGGUCCCAAGGGUAUGGCUGUUCGCCAUUUAAAGUGGUACGCGAGCUGGGUUUAGAACGUCGUGAGACAGUUCGGUCCCUAUCUGCCGUGGGCGCUGGAGAAUUGAGGGGGGCUGCUCCUAGUACGAGAGGACCGGAGUGGACGCAUCACUGGUGUUCGGGUUGUCAUGCCAAUGGCACUGCCCGGUAGCUAAAUGCGGAAGAGAUAAGUGCUGAAAGCAUCUAAGCACGAAACUUGCCCCGAGAUGAGUUCUCCCUGAGACUUUAAGUCUCCUGAAGGAACGUUGAAGACGACGACGUUGAUAGGCCGGGUGUGUAAGCGCAGCGAUGCGUUGAGCUAACCGGUACUAAUGAACCGUGAGGCUUAACCUUACAACGCCGAAG